This 65-nucleotide transfer RNA is filed under the name Thelenota ananas. RNAcentral's name for it is "tRNA-Lys". It matches the Rfam family "tRNA". Rfam says of the family: Transfer RNA (tRNA) molecules are approximately 80 nucleotides in length. The record is from RNAcentral. Lineage: Eukaryota; Metazoa; Echinodermata; Holothuroidea; Aspidochirotida; Stichopodidae.
CCCCAGAUAGCUUAAAAAAAGCCUCAGCCUCUUGAUCUGAAGUUGGAAAAUCCUUCCUCUGGGGA